Molecule: transfer RNA, 72 nt
Filed under: Phrynosoma platyrhinos (Desert horned lizard)
Lineage: Eukaryota; Metazoa; Chordata; Lepidosauria; Squamata; Phrynosomatidae
Description: tRNA-OTHER
Rfam family: tRNA
About the family: Transfer RNA (tRNA) molecules are approximately 80 nucleotides in length.
Source: RNAcentral
GCCAGUGUGGCAUAAUUGUUUGAGUGUUAGACUAUGACUCUGGAGACCAGGGUUCAAUUCCCAGCUCCGCCA